This 431-nucleotide long non-coding RNA is filed under the name Manihot esculenta (cassava). RNAcentral's name for it is "long non-coding RNA (MESC_LNC010127)". The record is from RNAcentral. Lineage: Eukaryota; Viridiplantae; Streptophyta; Magnoliopsida; Malpighiales; Euphorbiaceae.
ACCUAGAUAGUUUAUGACCCACAUAGGCCAAAACCAUCAAAACAACCCAAAUCCUCACAUACUCUCUCCCCAUCAUGCAUACUCACUCCCACAUGCAUAAAGGAGCAUAAACUAACAACAUAUCAUCACAUAAACACAUAUAAUCAUACAUUGGGCAUCAAACCCACAUAAACCUAAACAUGCAUAUCUACCCAUUAAAACACCAUUAAACUUACUUAAAACUUCAUUAAAACAUAAAGGGAAGCAUAGAUCCACACUUACCUCUUGAAGAUCGAGGGUUGGUGCGAUCCCUAACUUGGAGAUGGGAGGAAACUAAUCCUUGGGUCUCCAAGCUCCCAAAACUUGAUCUAAGCUUGAAAACUCUUUAAAAACAGCCAUGGAACUCAUGAAAACAUGAAGGAGAUGAAGAAAAACAUGAAAACGGCCAAGGG